AACGCCCCGCAAGGGGAGUGGCGCACGGGUGAGUAACGCGUGGAUAUCUGCCUUUUGGUUCGGAAUAACCCCGGGAAACUGGGGCUAAUACCGGAUGGUUCCUACGGGAUAAAGAUUUAUCGCCAAAAGAUGAGUCCGCGUACGAUUAGCUAGUUGGUGAGGUAAUGGCUCACCAAGGCGACGAUCGUUAGCUGGUCUGAGAGGACGAUCAGCCACACUGGGACUGAGACACGGCCCAGACUCCUACGGGAGGCAGCAGUGGGGAAUAUUGGACAAUGGGGGCAACCCUGAUCCAGCCAUGCCGCGUGAGUGAUGAAGGCCUUCGGGUUGUAAAGCUCUUUUGGCGGGGACGAUGAUGACGGUACCCGCAGAAUAAGCCCCGGCUAACUUCGUGCCAGCAGCCGCGGUAAGACGAAGGGGGCUAGCGUUGUUCGGAAUUACUGGGCGUAAAGCGAGUGUAGGCGGUUGUCCUAGUCAGGCGUGAAAGCCUUGAGCUCAACUCAAGAAAUGCGCUUGAUACUGGAUGACUAGAGGACCGGAGAGGAUAGUGGAAUUCCCAGUGUAGUGGUGAAAUACGUAGAGAUUGGGAAGAACACCAGUGGCGAAGGCGGCUAUCUGGACGGUUACUGACGCUAAGAC
This 639-nucleotide ribosomal RNA is filed under the name Reyranella sp. Its description in RNAcentral is "bacterial SSU rRNA". It matches the Rfam family "Bacterial small subunit ribosomal RNA", at positions 65 to 752 of the family's 1533-position model. Lineage: Bacteria; Pseudomonadati; Pseudomonadota; Alphaproteobacteria; Hyphomicrobiales; Reyranellaceae. The record is from RNAcentral.